Molecule: ribosomal RNA, 444 nt
Filed under: uncultured bacterium
Lineage: Bacteria
Description: bacterial SSU rRNA
Rfam family: Bacterial small subunit ribosomal RNA
Source: RNAcentral
CGCACGGGUGAGUAACACGUGGGUACCUACCCUAGAGUGGGGAAUAACACCGGGAAACCGGUGCUAAUACCGCAUACGAUCAUGAUGCCUUUGGGUAUUGUGAUGAAAGGAGCAAUUCGCUCUUGGAGGGGCCCGCGGCUGAUUAGCUAGUUGGUAAGGUAAUGGCUUACCAAGGCUACGAUCAGUAUCCGGUCUGAGAGGACGGUCGGACACACUGGAACUGAGACACGGUCCAGAAAACUUUUCCCUACGGGAGGGCAAGCAGUGGGGGAAUUUUCUGGCAAUUGGGCGGGAAACCCUGACCAAGCAACGCCGCGUGGGGUGAUGAAGUCUCUUGGGACGUAAAACCCCUUUCGACGGGGAAGAAAGGCCGCAAGGGCUUGGAACCGGUACCCGUAGAAGAAGCCCCGGCUAACUCCGUGCCAGCAGCCGCCGGUAAAUACG